AUUCUGUAGCAGUGACAUAAGCACAGAUAGAUUGGAUGUGACUGUCGUGGUCAUCCGGCCUUGCCCGUAGGGUGUGCGCCUGGGUUGCCCGCGGCUUUCUUCCGGUAGCCUUCCGCGCUUCGCUGCGUGCGUUGGUGUUCCGGAACUUUUACUUUGAGAAAAAUAGAGUGUUUCAAGCAGGCUUGUCGCCCUGAAUACUGCAGCAUGGAAUAAUAAGAUAGGACCUUGGUUCUAUUUUGUUGGUUUCUAGGACCGAGGUAAUGAUUAAUAGGGACAGUUGGGGGCAUUCGUAUUUAACUGUCAGAGGUGAAAUUCUUAGAUUUGUUAAAGACGAACUACUGCGAAAGCAUUUGCCAAGGAUGUUUUCAUUAAUCAAGAACGA
Molecule: ribosomal RNA, 382 nt
Filed under: Cyclospora cayetanensis
Lineage: Eukaryota; Apicomplexa; Conoidasida; Eucoccidiorida; Eimeriidae
Description: SSU rRNA
Rfam family: Eukaryotic small subunit ribosomal RNA
Source: RNAcentral